This 253-nucleotide ribosomal RNA is filed under the name uncultured Paracoccaceae bacterium. RNAcentral's name for it is "uncultured Rhodobacteraceae bacterium partial 16S ribosomal RNA". It matches the Rfam family "Bacterial small subunit ribosomal RNA", at positions 524 to 776 of the family's 1533-position model. The record is from RNAcentral. Lineage: Bacteria; Pseudomonadati; Pseudomonadota; Alphaproteobacteria; Rhodobacterales; Paracoccaceae.
UACGGAGGGGACUAGCGUUGUUCGGAAUUACUGGGCGUAAAGCGUACGUAGGCGGAUUAGUCAGUUAGAGGUGAAAUCCCAGGGCUCAACCCUGGAACUGCCUUUAAUACUGCUAGUCUUGAGUUCGAGAGAGGUGAGUGGAAUUCCGAGUGUAGAGGUGAAAUUCGUAGAUAUUCGGAGGAACACCAGUGGCGAAGGCGGCUCACUGGCUCGAUACUGACGCUGAGGUACGAAAGUGUGGGGAGCAAACAGG